RNAcentral lists this ribosomal RNA (429 nucleotides) under Chloroflexota bacterium. Its description in RNAcentral is "Chloroflexi bacterium partial 16S ribosomal RNA". It matches the Rfam family "Bacterial small subunit ribosomal RNA", at positions 355 to 776 of the family's 1533-position model. The record is from RNAcentral. Lineage: Bacteria; Bacillati; Chloroflexota.
UGGGGAAUAUUGCACAAUGGGCGCAAGCCUGAUGCAGCCAUGCCGCGUGUGUGAAGAAGGCCUUCGGGUUGUAAAGCACUUUCAGCGGGGAGGAAGGCGAUAAGGUUAAUAACCUUGUCGAUUGACGUUACCCGCAGAAGAAGCACCGGCUAACUCCGUGCCAGCAGCCGCGGUAAUACGGAGGGUGCAAGCGUUAAUCGGAAUUACUGGGCGUAAAGCGCACGCAGGCGGUCUGUCAAGUCGGAUGUGAAAUCCCCGGGCUCAACCUGGGAACUGCAUCUGAUACUGGCAAGCUUGAGUCUCGUAGAGGGGUGUAGAAUUCCAGGUGUAGCGGUGAAAUGCGUAGAGAUCUGGAGGAAUACCGGUGGCGAAGGCGGCCCCCUGGACGAAGACUGACGCUCAGGUGCGAAAGCGUGGGGAGCAAACAGG